This is a long non-coding RNA of Lycium ferocissimum, 2033 nucleotides long. RefSeq lists it as uncharacterized. The record is from RefSeq and is a predicted model, not a curated record. The transcript is spliced from 3 exons. NCBI's taxonomy places the organism in Eukaryota, Viridiplantae, Streptophyta, Magnoliopsida, Solanales, Solanaceae.
CAAUUGGCAGAAUUUGAGUUCUUCUUUAGGUGCAAUUUUUUUUUAUUUCUGUUGUUGUCGCUCAAAUUUUUUCCUGUGGCCUUUUUACUGGGCUACUUUUGUUCUUCAUUUCUUGGUUUCUUGUGAAGUUUCUCCAUUUUGAGUGAAUUUUGUUUAUGAAUAUUACGGUUUGCCCAUAGUUUAGGUUGAAAGUAUUGAAAAAAAUGUGUAGGAUUUAACAAUUUGGAUGUUUUUUUUUUUUUUUUUUUUUAAAGGUACUCAUGCAUAGAUGGUGCAUGUGAUUUUUACUGAUUUAUUAUCGUCUGAUGAUUUAAUUAGCUGUGUAGGAAGAUAUUACUGAAGAAAUUGCUUGAGAUCUAGGCAGUGUACAUGAAAACAACCUAGCAUCCGGCACCCACUCCUUGCCAACUUUUUACAUCCAUGUACUAUGUUAAGUUCACAACUGUUUAUGGCCACUGUUGAUCCUUCUUUUAUACUAAUUACCUUUACUGCUACAUUGAUGGUCAUGUUCUCUAAUAUUUCUUGAGUAAAAAGAUUGAGAUAGUUGGUUUCUAUUAAUGUACAAGAGAUGUAUCAGUAUUCUUACCCUCUAUCUACAAAUAUAAUUUUGGGUAUAACACUACUAUCUUUACAUCGUUCUUAAGAGACAAGAACUGCCUAAAGGGGGAGGACAUUUUAUGAAAGUUUAAAUUGUUAUAUGUGUUUAUUGUUUACCAAUGAACUAAUAAGUUUAAUUGAGCCCCUUUUAUUAUAUGGUUGUCAUGAUUUUUUACUACACAUCUCAAUAUCAUAUGUAAAUAGAUAAUCCUUAUCAUACGGUUGUCGUGUUUUAUUGAUGUUUACCUGCUUUCAACAUGCAUGCUUCAAAGAAUGGCAACUAAAGAGCUAAUGUGGUGUUGAUAGAAAGAGAGAUGAGGCCAGUGUGAUUCAGCAACAUGUAAAUACAACAUGGUUGCUGGCUUUAGAGUUGCCUGAAGUUACUGAAACACCGUCCGUGAGGGCUAUGCGCCCUGCACGAACGAUCCAGAUGGAGCCAAUUGAAGCAGGAGCCGCUCGCAAGAUGACAUGGUACGACCUGCAGUUUAGGUGAAUAGUUGGAUGGUCAAGAUAACAGAGAUUGGAGCUUCAAGAUAAUUGUCUUCACUUCGCUCUUGGGAAGAGCUGCCAACUAUUUCCCUCCAGAUGACAUGAUGAUCAUAUCAUCCUCAGAGUAGUCAUCAGUGUUUAUCAGACGAAAUUUUGCAGGAAAAAUUGUUGAGCAGAAGAUAUGAAGGUACUCAUAAUUACCUCACUGGACUACAGGAGAUGAUGGGCUAUCCUUCCGGCUCUGCAGUUUGUGCCUAACAGAUUGACUUCCUUCGAUUUAGUUUUGUCUCAGUCGUUUCAGUUUGUCUCAAAUAUUCAUUUCUUCCUUGGGAAAAUAACGGGAAGCUUCAAGAUCAAGGGUAAUCAAUGCACAAUCUGCAACAAACAGAACUGGUAACGCAAACCAAAACAGGACAGUUAGAGAUCACAGUACUGUUGAAAAUAUUGAUGAGAUUGAAACAACAGCCCUUUCCCAAUUGAAAAAGGAAUUAGGUCUCUGAUGGGAUUGAAUUGAUAUUCCUUGUAAAUAAGAGCAACAAUAUAUUGUGCAACAUAUUUUUGGUUGUGUCUAGCUGCAAAACUCAAAUGGUUCACCUGCUUUGAACAUGUACCAGCUGAAAGUCGCAAAACGGCUUGAUUUAUUUUCCUUGCAUAGUGUUGUGAUGGACAAAGUCUUUGAUGGGAUUGAAUUGAUAUUCCUUGCAAAUAAGAGCAACGAUGUCUUGUGCAACAUCCUUUUGGUUGUGUCUAGCUGCAAAAUCAAAUGGUUCACCAACUGAAAGUCGCAAAACGGGUUGCUUUAUUUUCCUUGCACAGUGUUGUGAUGGACAAAGUCUUUGCACUAGCCAUGCCAGUACAACUGGUACUCAUGGGGAAUAAUGUACCUAUGAUGUUCUUGAAGAUGCUAAACGGUUCCUAUAAUUUGUUGGUAUUAUAUCUUAUAAGUU